RNAcentral lists this small nuclear RNA (301 nucleotides) under Octodon degus (degu). RNAcentral's name for it is "7SK RNA (ENSODEG00000025753.1)". It matches the Rfam family "7SK RNA". Rfam says of the family: 7SK was discovered as an abundant small nuclear RNA in the mid-70s but a possible function has only recently been suggested. Two independent studies have found that 7SK RNA binds the CDK9/cyclin T complex (known as elongation factor P-TEFb). P-TEFb activates transcription by phosphorylating the C-terminal domain of RNA polymerase II. The record is from Rfam by way of RNAcentral. Lineage: Eukaryota; Metazoa; Chordata; Mammalia; Rodentia; Octodontidae.
GUAAGGGCCACAUCUGGCUGUGACGUCUAUCACCCAUUGAUGGCCAGGGUCGAUCUGGCUGGUCCGGCUGGCUCCUCCGCAUCCCCUCUGUCUCUCACUGCCCCAUGUACAUUCUUCCUAAAGCUGCAUACUUGGUCAAAGAGGAAGAUCACCCAAGACAGAGGACCAGUCAAGGGUAUAGGAGCUGCACUGCCUGGCUAGAACUUCCAAAUAAUUUAUUCCACAUCAGUGUAUGCUACAAUCUAUAAACUUAAAGUUGAUUAUUUAUACAGAGCCGAUGAUAUACAAUGUGUUUUUGUGU